Molecule: ribosomal RNA, 467 nt
Filed under: uncultured bacterium
Lineage: Bacteria
Description: partial 16S ribosomal RNA
Rfam family: Bacterial small subunit ribosomal RNA
Source: RNAcentral
GACGAACGCUGGCGGCGUGCUUAACACAUGCAAGUCGAACGGAAAGGCCCUGCUUUUGUGGGGUGCUCGAGUGGCGAACGGGUGAGUAACACGUGAGUAACCUGCCCUUGACUUUGGGAUAACUUCAGGAAACUGGGGCUAAUACCGGAUAGGAGCUCCUGCUGCAUGGUGGGGGUUGGAAAGUUUCGGCGGUUGGGGAUGGACUCGCGGCUUAUCAGCUUGUUGGUGGGGUAGUGGCUUACCAAGGAUUUGACGGGUAGCCGGCCUGAGAGGGUGACCGGCCACAUUGGGACGGGGAUACGGCCCAGACGCAUACGGGAGGAAGCAGUGGGGAAUAUUGCACAAUGGGCGGAGGCCUGAUGGAGCAACGCCGCGUGCGGGAUGACGGCCUUCGGGUUGUAAACCGCUUUCGCCUGUGACGAAGCGUGAGUGACGGUAAUGGGGAAAGAAGCACCGGCUAACUACGU